This 56-nucleotide transfer RNA is filed under the name Loxodonta africana (African savanna elephant). It matches the Rfam family "tRNA", at positions 8 to 63 of the family's 71-position model. Rfam says of the family: Transfer RNA (tRNA) molecules are approximately 80 nucleotides in length. Their secondary structure includes four short double-helical elements and three loops (D, anti-codon, and T loops). Lineage: Eukaryota; Metazoa; Chordata; Mammalia; Proboscidea; Elephantidae. The record is from Rfam by way of RNAcentral.
UGGUUCAGUGGUAGAAUUCUCACUUUCCAUAUGAGAGACCCAGGUUCCACUCCUGG